UCUCCGUUGGUGAACCAGCGGAGGGAUCAUUACCGAGUUUACAACUCCCAAACCCCUGUGAACAUACCAUUUGUUGCCUCGGAGGUGCCUGCUUCGGCAGCCCGCCAGAGGACCCAAACCCUUGAUUUUAUACAGUAUCUUCUGAGUAAAUGAUUAAAUAAAUCAAAACUUUCAACAACGGAUCUCUUGGUUCUG
Molecule: unclassified non-coding RNA, 195 nt
Filed under: plant metagenome
Description: partial contains small subunit ribosomal RNA, internal transcribed spacer 1, and 5.8S ribosomal RNA
Source: RNAcentral